This is a long non-coding RNA of Canis lupus familiaris (dog), 2674 nucleotides long. RefSeq lists it as uncharacterized. The record is from RefSeq and is a predicted model, not a curated record. NCBI's taxonomy places the organism in Eukaryota, Metazoa, Chordata, Mammalia, Carnivora, Canidae. The transcript has 7 exons.
AAAAAAUCUUUUGAAAUGUCAAAAAUGCAAUUCAUCAACACUUUGUAGGUUUCUUUUUGUGUGUGUGAACUAUAGAUAAAGAUAUAUAAUUUUAUGCCAUUCUCCCCCUCCCCACACUCCAUUUUUUUUCCUGCUCAUACUUAGGGACCAUGACAAACCUCUAGGACUUUAUGGUCCAAACAGGGCCACUGAAUUAAUGGAUAGGUGAGGCUUUUGAGGAGGACAGAGAAACAAUGUUUGUAUUUCUCUUCCUGUGUACUUUUUCCUUUAGGUCCUUUAGAUCUGCAUGGUAGAGCUUGAAUGUUUUUUUCUCUUUGGAACAUGCUACCCAUAUUAUACUUUGAUCAAGAUUGGAAUGUGACUCCUAGCCAAAGAAGGUGAAGUGUGGGCUACUCAGGACUUUCUCUUUCCUGAAUAUCAAAAGAGAAGGAUAAGAGUAAGAAACCAAGGUGAACAGAAACCACAGUGAGGAAGAAGAAUAUAGAAAGAUUUAAGGGAUGAACUUUGGACAGAUGGCCUGAUUUGAUUGACAUACAGUAAAAAUUCCAAGUGUGAGUGGAAUAAUAUGUUAGAUCAAAUCUGAGAGUUCAAGAAACCUCCCAGUCUUUGGGAUAAGCUACUGAGCAAAGAGGCACUGUUAAUAUUCUGGUGAAUUCUGUUCCUUUGGUUGAUCCUUGUCAUCUGACUCCAGUGCCAACUUCUCAUGCUAAAGGAGGUGAGAGAUGGUCCUGUUCAGUACCACUUUGAGGAAAACAAACAGUCACACACAGAAAGAGAGAGGCAGAGACAUAGGCAGAGGGAGAAGCAGGCUCCAUGCACCGGGAGCCCGACGUGGGAUUCGAUCCCAGGUCUCCAGGAUCGCGCCCUGGGCCAAAGGCAGGCACUAAACCACUGCACCACCCAGGGAUCCCAAAUAGCAAUUUUAUAUGAAAGCUGGCAUUUGUUUCAAAACUUGUUCACCUUCCUCAGCUAUUUAUAUCUGCCACCCUAUUUAUUCAUCUCUCUCAUUUUCUACAGAUAAUCUUUACUAGAAAAUGGUUUGGCAGUUUCUUAUAAAUACACUUUACCAUGUUAUCCAGGAAUCCUACUCCUGGAAUUUUACCACAGAGGAAUGAAAACUUAUGUUCACACAAGAAAAGUUUCAUGAAUGUUCAUUGUCUAUUUGUGAUAGCCAAAACUUGUUAACAGUCCACGUGUUCUUCAGUGGGUGAAUGAAUAAACAAAUUAUGGUUCAUUCAUACAGUUGACUACUACUCAGCAAUAAAAAGGAACAAAUUAUUAUUAACACGACAAAUUGGAUGGAUCUUAAGGGCAUUGCAAUAAAUGAAAAAAAAUCUCUCAAAAGGUUAUACAUUGUAUGACUCCACUUACAUAAUAUUCUUGCCAAGACAAAGUUAUAGUUCUGCAGAUGAGAAGAGUGGUCCCCAGGGACUGGGGCGAGGAAAGGUGUUUGUCACUGUGAAAAAUAGCCUGAGGCAAUUUCUUUGGGGUUGAUGACUCAGCCUUGUUUUCUGAUUUCUGGUGGUAUUUACAUUAAUCUAUACAUGUGAUAAAAUUUGAAUGAACUGUACAACAACUGUUGAAAUCUAAGUAAACUUGUAGUUUUGUUAAUAGAACUGUAUUAAUGACAGCUUCUUGUUUUUAAUAAUUGUACUUUGGUUGCAUAAAAUGUUAUUCAGAGAAACUGGGUAAAUAAUACACAGGGACUCCAUUUUUCUUUGCAACUUCUGUGUUAACCUACAAUUAUAUAUAUAUUUAAUUAAAAACUUUCACAUGGUACUUUCUCAUCUAACACCUGCAUGCAUACUAUUUUCCUUGUGUCCUGUUACACUUGAGAAGCACUCCUCUUCCCAUCUUAGAUCAGGCUCUUCACAUGAGCUUUGCAUCCCAUCUCUUUACAACUUAUCAAUAGUCUUAUCCCAUCAAUUAUUUAUAAAUUUUGCUCUCAGCUGGAUCCUUCUGGUAAGUUUAUAAACUUGCUCAGAAUAUCUGCCAUUAAAAAAUAAUGUUUCCUUCGUUUGACCUCAUAUCCCUUUGCAGCCAUAUGUUAUCAAUUUUCUCCCCAUUUUCAAAGCCAAACUUCUGAAAUAUGUGAAAAUGUGUAUACAUUCACAGAACCUAACUCCUCACAUGCCACUUUUCUUGCAACCUACACCAGUGCUCAAGGGGAGGGGGAGCCACUAAUCAUGGGAGAAAGGACCUGAAAAGGGUGAUUAUCAACAUUCACAUCACUAAAUCCAGUGGACUUUCUCCCACCAUUUUCCGUAGGUCUCAUUUUAUAUGUCUUUGUGUGAUUAUUUGAUUAAUAUCUAUCUCAUCACAGCUGACAUUAGAGAUUAUCUUUUUUUGUUACUGUACUAGAACAUGGUAGAUGUCCAAUUGUUUAAGCAUAAAUUAGCAUCUACACAUAGUCAUGCAAGAUAUAAUUCUCUAGCUCGGAGAAAUUUGUUACUGCAGUGUGAAUAUGUACGCAUAUACACUCUUGAUUUGAAAUAUCCACUUGGUAAUCUUAAGUGCAUCUGAAGAUUAUCAUAUUCAAGAUUGAAUUUAACAUGUUUUCCUUAAAAUGUAUUCAUACCUGGACUCCUGGGUGGCUCAGUGGUUGAGCAUCUGCCUUCGGCUCAUGGCUCGAUCCCGGGGUUCUUGGAUUGAGCCCCACAUCGGACUCACUGCG